GCCCGCUCAGAAACUUAAAGUGAAUUGACGGGGGCCCGCACAAGCGGUGGAGCAUGUGGUUUAAUUCGAUGAUACGCGAGGAACCUUACCUGGGCUCGAACGUAAGAUGACUGUAGGUGAAAGCUUACAUCUCUUCGGAGCAUUUUACGAGGUGCUGCAUGGUUGUCGUCAGCUCGUGCCGUGAGGUGUCGGGUUAAGUCCCAUAACGAGCGCAACCCCUACCUUUAGUUGCCAUCAGGUUAAGCUGGGGACUCUAAAGGAACUGCCUACGCAAGUAGUGAGGAAGGCGGGGAUGACGUCAAAUCAGCACGGCCCUUACGUCCAGGGCUACACACGUGCUACAAUGGCCGAUACAGAGGGCAGCUACCUGGUGACAGGAUGCAAAUCUCCAAAGUCGGUCUCAGUUCGGAUCGGAGUCUGCAACCCGACUCCGUGAAGUUGGAUUCGCUAGUAAUCGCGCAUCAGCCAUGGCGCGGUGAAUACGUUCCCGGGCCUU
This 496-nucleotide ribosomal RNA is filed under the name uncultured Sphingobacteriales bacterium. RNAcentral's name for it is "bacterial SSU rRNA". It matches the Rfam family "Bacterial small subunit ribosomal RNA", at positions 887 to 1382 of the family's 1533-position model. The record is from RNAcentral. Lineage: Bacteria; Pseudomonadati; Bacteroidota; Sphingobacteriia; Sphingobacteriales.